RNAcentral lists this ribosomal RNA (459 nucleotides) under uncultured bacterium. RNAcentral's name for it is "partial 16S ribosomal RNA". It matches the Rfam family "Bacterial small subunit ribosomal RNA", at positions 338 to 795 of the family's 1533-position model. The record is from RNAcentral.
CCUACGGGGGGCAGCAGUGAGGAAUAUUGGUCAAUGGCCGGGAGGCUGAACCAGCCAAGUCGCGUGAGGGAAGACGGCCCUACGGGUUGUAAACCUCUUUUGUCAGGGAGCAAUGUGCAGGUCGGGACCUGUUGUGAGAGUUCCCGAAGAAAAAGCAUUGGCAAACCACGUGCCAGCAGACGCGGUAAUACGGAGGAUGCGAGGGUUAAUCGGAUUUGUUGGGUUUAAAGGGUGCGCAGGCGGAGGGACAAGUCAGCGGUAAAAUCGCGGGGCUCAACCCCGCUCCGCCGUUGAAACUGUGUCCCUUGAGUGCGCGAAGGGUAGGCGGAAUGCGUGGUGUAGCGGUGAAAUGCAUAGAUAUCACGCAGAACUCCGAUCGCGAAGGCAGCCUACCGGCGCGCAACUGACGCUCAUGCACGAAAGCGUGGGUAUCGAACAGGAUUAGAUACCCGGGUAGUC